This 2923-nucleotide ribosomal RNA is filed under the name Klebsiella pneumoniae. Its description in RNAcentral is "23S ribosomal RNA". It matches the Rfam family "Bacterial large subunit ribosomal RNA". The record is from RNAcentral. Lineage: Bacteria; Pseudomonadati; Pseudomonadota; Gammaproteobacteria; Enterobacterales; Enterobacteriaceae.
GGGUUGUGAGGUUAAGCGACUAAGCGUACACGGUGGAUGCCCUGGCAGUCAGAGGCGAUGAAGGACGUGCUAAUCUGCGAAAAGCGUCGGUAAGGUGAUAUGAACCGUUAUAACCGGCGAUGUCCGAAUGGGGAAACCCAGUGUGAUUCGUCACACUAUCGUUAACUGAAUACAUAGGUUAACGAGGCGAACCGGGGGAACUGAAACAUCUAAGUACCCCGAGGAAAAGAAAUCAACCGAGAUUCCCCCAGUAGCGGCGAGCGAACGGGGAGCAGCCCAGAGUCUGAAUCAGCUUGUGUGUUAGUGGAACGGUCUGGAAAGUCCGACGGUACAGGGUGAUAGUCCCGUACACCAAAAUGCACAGGUUGUGAACUCGAAGAGUAGGGCGGGACACGUGGUAUCCUGUCUGAAUAUGGGGGGACCAUCCUCCAAGGCUAAAUACUCCUGACUGACCGAUAGUGAACCAGUACCGUGAGGGAAAGGCGAAAAGAACCCCGGCGAGGGGAGUGAAAAAGAACCUGAAACCGUGUACGUACAAGCAGUGGGAGCACCUUCGGGUGUGACUGCGUACCUUUUGUAUAAUGGGUCAGCGACUUAUAUUCUGUAGCAAGGUUAACCGUAUAGGGGAGCCGCAGGGAAACCGAGUCUUAACUGGGCGUUAAGUUGCAGGGUAUAGACCCGAAACCCGGUGAUCUAGCCAUGGGCAGGUUGAAGGUUGGGUAACACUAACUGGAGGACCGAACCGACUAAUGUUGAAAAAUUAGCGGAUGACUUGUGGCUGGGGGUGAAAGGCCAAUCAAACCGGGAGAUAGCUGGUUCUCCCCGAAAGCUAUUUAGGUAGCGCCUCGUGAACUCAUCUUCGGGGGUAGAGCACUGUUUCGGCUAGGGGGUCAUCCCGACUUACCAACCCGAUGCAAACUACGAAUACCGAAGAAUGUUAUCACGGGAGACACACGGCGGGUGCUAACGUCCGUCGUGAAGAGGGAAACAACCCAGACCGCCAGCUAAGGUCCCAAAGUCAUGGUUAAGUGGGAAACGAUGUGGGAAGGCACAGACAGCCAGGACGUUGGCUUAGAAGCAGCCAUCAUUUAAAGAAAGCGUAAUAGCUCACUGGUCGAGUCGGCCUGCGCGGAAGAUGUAACGGGGCUAAACCAUGCACCGAAGCUGCGGCAGCGACACUAUGUGUUGUUGGGUAGGGGAGCGUUCUGUAAGCCUGCGAAGGUGACCUGUGAGGGUUGCUGGAGGUAUCAGAAGUGCGAAUGCUGACAUAAGUAACGAUAAAGCGGGUGAAAAGCCCGCUCGCCGGAAGACCAAGGGUUCCUGUCCAACGUUAAUCGGGGCAGGGUGAGUCGACCCCUAAGGCGAGGCCGAAAGGCGUAGUCGAUGGGAAACAGGUUAAUAUUCCUGUACUUGGUGUUACUGCGAAGGGGGGACGGAGAAGGCUAUGUUAGCCGGGCGACGGUUGUCCCGGUUUAAGCAUGUAGGCUGGUUAUCCAGGCAAAUCCGGAUAAUCAAGGCUGAGGUGUGAUGACGAGGCACUACGGUGCUGAAGUAACAAAUGCCCUGCUUCCAGGAAAAGCCUCUAAGCAUCAGGUAACAUCAAAUCGUACCCCAAACCGACACAGGUGGUCAGGUAGAGAAUACCAAGGCGCUUGAGAGAACUCGGGUGAAGGAACUAGGCAAAAUGGUGCCGUAACUUCGGGAGAAGGCACGCUGGUGUGUAGGUGAAGUCCCUGCGGAUGGAGCUGAGACCAGUCGAAGAUACCAGCUGGCUGCAACUGUUUAUUAAAAACACAGCACUGUGCAAACACGAAAGUGGACGUAUACGGUGUGACGCCUGCCCGGUGCCGGAAGGUUAAUUGAUGGGGUUAUCCGUAAGGAGAAGCUCUUGAUCGAAGCCCCGGUAAACGGCGGCCGUAACUAUAACGGUCCUAAGGUAGCGAAAUUCCUUGUCGGGUAAGUUCCGACCUGCACGAAUGGCGUAAUGAUGGCCAGGCUGUCUCCACCCGAGACUCAGUGAAAUUGAACUCGCUGUGAAGAUGCAGUGUACCCGCGGCAAGACGGAAAGACCCCGUGAACCUUUACUAUAGCUUGACACUGAACAUUGAGCCUUGAUGUGUAGGAUAGGUGGGAGGCUUUGAAGCGUGGACGCCAGUCUGCGUGGAGCCAACCUUGAAAUACCACCCUUUAAUGUUUGAUGUUCUAACGUUGGCCCCUGACCGGGGUUGCGGACAGUGUCUGGUGGGUAGUUUGACUGGGGCGGUCUCCUCCCAAAGCGUAACGGAGGAGCACGAAGGUUAGCUAAUCCUGGUCGGACAUCAGGAGGUUAGUGCAAUGGCAUAAGCUAGCUUGACUGCGAGCGUGACGGCGCGAGCAGGUGCGAAAGCAGGUCAUAGUGAUCCGGUGGUUCUGAAUGGAAGGGCCAUCGCUCAACGGAUAAAAGGUACUCCGGGGAUAACAGGCUGAUACCGCCCAAGAGUUCAUAUCGACGGCGGUGUUUGGCACCUCGAUGUCGGCUCAUCACAUCCUGGGGCUGAAGUAGGUCCCAAGGGUAUGGCUGUUCGCCAUUUAAAGUGGUACGCGAGCUGGGUUUAGAACGUCGUGAGACAGUUCGGUCCCUAUCUGCCGUGGGCGCUGGAGAAUUGAGGGGGGCUGCUCCUAGUACGAGAGGACCGGAGUGGACGCAUCACUGGUGUUCGGGUUGUCAUGCCAAUGGCACUGCCCGGUAGCUAAAUGCGGAAGAGAUAAGUGCUGAAAGCAUCUAAGCACGAAACUUGCCCCGAGAUGAGUUCUCCCUGAGACUUUAAGUCUCCUGAAGGAACGUUAAAGACGAUGACGUUGAUAGGCCGGGUGUGUAAGCGCAGCGAUGCGUUGAGCUAACCGGUACUAAUGAACCGUGAGGCUUAACCUUACAACGCCGAAG